Molecule: ribosomal RNA, 469 nt
Filed under: uncultured bacterium
Lineage: Bacteria
Description: partial 16S ribosomal RNA
Rfam family: Bacterial small subunit ribosomal RNA
Source: RNAcentral
AACGAACGUUGGCGGCGUGGCUUAGGCAUGCAAGUCGAACGCGAAUCCCUGGGCAACUGGGGAGGAGAGUGGCGAAAGGGGCAGUAAGGCGUGGGUAACCUACCCUCCGGGCCGGGAUAGCUUCGGGAAACUGAAGGUAAUACCGGGCGACGCAGCGAGAUCGCAUGGUCUUGCUGCCAAAGGUCCGCCGCCGGGGGAGGGGCUCACGUGGUAUUAGCUAGACGGCGGGGUAACGGCCCACCGUGGCAAAGAUGCCUAGCAGGUGUGAGAGCACGACCUGCGCCACGGGCACUGAGACACUGGCCAGACACCUACGGGUGGCUGCAGUCGAGGAUCUUCGGCAAUGGGCGCAAGCCUGACCGAGCGACGCCGCGUGUGCGAUGAAGGCCUUCGGGUUGUAAAGCACUGUCGAGGGGGAGGAAGCCGCAAGGUUGACCUAUCCCUGGAGGAAGCACGGGCUAAGUUCGUG